AUUGAACGCUGGCGGCAGGCCUAACACAUGCAAGUCGAGCGGAUGAAGGGAGCUUGCUCCUGGAUUCAGCGGCGGACGGGUGAGUAAUGCCUAGGAAUCUGCCUGGUAGUGGGGGAUAACGUCCGGAAACGGGCGCUAAUACCGCAUACGUCCUGAGGGAGAAAGUGGGGGAUCUUCGGACCUCACGCUAUCAGAUGAGCCUAGGUCGGAUUAGCUAGUUGGUGGGGUAAAGGCCUGCCAAGGCGACGAUCCGUAACUGGUCUGAGAGGAUGUUCAGUCGCACUGGAACUGAGACACGGUCCAGACUCCUACGGGAGGCAGCAGUGGGGAAUAUUGGACAAUGGGCGAAAGCCUGAUCCAGCCAUGCCGCGUGUGUGAAGAAGGUCUUCGGAUUGUAGAGCACUUUAAGUUGGGAGGAAGGGCAGUAAGUUAAUACCUUGCUGUUUUGACGUUACCAACAGAAUAAGCACCGGCUAACUUCGUG
This 484-nucleotide ribosomal RNA is filed under the name uncultured bacterium. RNAcentral's name for it is "partial 16S ribosomal RNA". It matches the Rfam family "Bacterial small subunit ribosomal RNA", at positions 30 to 507 of the family's 1533-position model. The record is from RNAcentral.